RNAcentral lists this small nuclear RNA (164 nucleotides) under Neotoma lepida (desert woodrat). RNAcentral describes it as "U1 spliceosomal RNA". It matches the Rfam family "U1 spliceosomal RNA". From Rfam's summary of the family: U1 is a small nuclear RNA (snRNA) component of the spliceosome (involved in pre-mRNA splicing). Its 5' end forms complementary base pairs with the 5' splice junction, thus defining the 5' donor site of an intron. The record is from Rfam by way of RNAcentral. Lineage: Eukaryota; Metazoa; Chordata; Mammalia; Rodentia; Cricetidae.
ACACUUUGCUAGCAGGGGAGAUAUCAUGAUUACAGAAGUGGUUUUCCCAGGGUGAGGCUUAUCAGUUGCACUCUGGAUGUGCUGACCCUUGUAAGUUCCCCAAAUGUGAGAAACUUGACUGCAUAAUUUGUGGUAGUGGGGGACUGCGUUCACACAUUCAUCUG